GUAGGGAAUCUUCCGCAAUGGACGAAAGUCUGACGGAGCAACGCCGCGUGAGUGAUGAAGGUUUUCGGAUCGUAAAACUCUGUUAUUAGGGAAGAACAAAUGUGUAAGUAACUGUGCACAUCUUGACGGUACCUAAUCAGAAAGCCACGGCUAACUACGUGCCAGCAGCCGCGGUAAUACGUAGGUGGCAAGCGUUAUCCGGAAUUAUUGGGCGUAAAGCGCGCGUAGGCGGUUUCUUAAGUCUGAUGUGAAAGCCCACGGCUCAACCGUGGAGGGUCAUUGGAAACUGGGAAACUUGAGUACAGAAGAGGAAAGUGGAAUUCCAUGUGUAGCGGUGAAAUGCGCAGAGAUAUGGAGGAACACCAGUGGCGAAGGCGACUUUCUGGUCUGUAACUGACGCUGAUGUGCGAAAGCGUGGGGAUCAAACAGGAUUAGAAACCCUAGUAGUCC
RNAcentral lists this ribosomal RNA (450 nucleotides) under uncultured bacterium. Its description in RNAcentral is "bacterial SSU rRNA". It matches the Rfam family "Bacterial small subunit ribosomal RNA", at positions 354 to 796 of the family's 1533-position model. The record is from RNAcentral.